This 253-nucleotide ribosomal RNA is filed under the name uncultured bacterium. RNAcentral's name for it is "partial 16S ribosomal RNA". It matches the Rfam family "Bacterial small subunit ribosomal RNA", at positions 524 to 776 of the family's 1533-position model. The record is from RNAcentral.
UACAUGGGGUGCAAACGUUGCUCGGAAUUAUUGGGCGUAAAGAGCUCGUAGGCGGUUUGUCGCGUCUGCCGUGAAAGUCCGGGGCUCAACUCCGGAUCUGCGGUGGGUACGGGCAGACUAGAGUGAUGUAGGGGAGACUGGAAUUCCUGGUGUAGCGGUGAAAUGCGCAGAUAUCAGGAGGAACACCGGUGGCGAAGGCGGGUCUCUGGGCCGAUACUGACGCUGAGGAGCGAAAGCGUGGGGAGCGAACAGG